This 1618-nucleotide long non-coding RNA is filed under the name Cricetulus griseus (Chinese hamster). RNAcentral's name for it is "lncRNA (ENSCGRG00015013257.2)". Lineage: Eukaryota; Metazoa; Chordata; Mammalia; Rodentia; Cricetidae. The record is from RNAcentral.
AGAGAAGCAAUGCCCUUCUGUCAUGUCUCUAGACCCAGAAUGAGCCUUUGGGACAGAAACUGAGGAGGAGGAUGCUUUGGCUUUCUAAUUUAUGUUCACACCAAAUGGGGGUGCAGCUCAGAAGAUGCCCAGCUUAUCCAACCCCCCUUCAAGCAAAAGAUUCAAUGAAGGCCAGCAUUGUUUAGUCUGCAUAAACAGAGGCCAGACCUGUGAAGCCAGGAAGACAAAAAGCCCGCCCUCUAGCGGUCACACUGGGCAGCGCUCAUCACUCCCGGGAGCACCAACAGGAAGGCGGGAGCGUGAGGGCUAAAAUACACCUUGGUGACCAGGCUUUUAUUUCAGUCAAUGGUGGUUAAACUGCAUUUUGUGAAGUUUGAAAAACUGCAGUUUGGGGAAGCAAGACUGAUCUGUAUCGCUAGGAUGAAGAUGGAGGCAUUUUAACCUGGCCCUGUUCCUGGACCCCGUCCACAUUUUCCUGGGGGUUGCAUUGCACCUUUCGUUCUCUGCUUCACUAAGGCAGUGGCAGCACAAUAUUUCUAGACACAAGUGGAAGAGGACAGUGUGACAGUCAAGUCUUCUGUGCUUGCCUACGCAUGUGGUAUUUCGGAUGAUGGUUUAGCAUUUGAGAACUUAGUGAUGGUGAUGUGCUAUUUUCUUUAACAUAUGAAGUGAAAAUUCAGCCAUCAACAGUGCUUCAGAUCGGUUGAAUUUUAUCCCACUUUUUAACCUCGACAAACACUAGAAAAGCUGAAGGAUUCUGAGUGGCAGCCAAUGCUUUUCAUCAGAGAAACUCAAACUUCUUCCCAAACAUUAAUCAAACCCCACUGCAUUGUGGCCCAGUUGUAAGCUGAAUUUUUCUUUGAAAGAAAGAGAAAAAGAAAUCCAACAAUAUAAGCAAGUAGGCAGCAGAUGUACAAGGCAGAGGGAAAUGAAAACUUAAAGAUGCAGACUUGGGUUCGUAGGUACCAAGGCACCAACUCCUUUUCAGUGAAAUGGUAUUCUCAGCCCCUCAUCCCAGUCUGUUCCUGCUUUCCUAUAGAGAGCUGUUGAUCAAGUCACCCUUUCUGCAAGCUCUACUCCUUGGCACCGAUAGAGACGUUUGUGUCUUGCUUUUAUCGCCAUUAGUCAUGGUAAGGCUGUGGUCUAUGGGAAAGCCUUCCAAGAUGACAGAGAAAUUGGGAGUGUUUCCAGGAUGCUACCUUGUACAUCUGGUCUCUGGGAAGGAAAAGACUGCAAACCAGGUUGAGUCUCUUUGAAGUAGAGGGAUCUAGGGAAUGAGUGUGUGAAUGAAAGUUCCCAGAUGGAAGCUACUCCUUCAAAUAGAAACUUGUAGAAGGCUCAGCAACUGAUGAGAACUUCAAUGACUGUUGAUAAUUCAGAAUGUUGACAUUCCAGAGCCAAGAUAUGUUGGGCUGUCUUUAGCUCUCUUGAAAGCCAUGUAUUUACUCUGUUCUUUGUACCUGACCUGACAGCUUUGUGACCCUCAGGUAAAUCAUUUGGAAUGUUCAGAGUAUUAGUUUUCCAACAAACUAGAAAGCUAAGAAUAUUGUCCAAUAGCAUCCAAGGCCUGUAGGAGAGGUUUUCCAGUUUGUUUCAACCUUCCCGUAUAAUGUUUCUG